RNAcentral lists this ribosomal RNA (219 nucleotides) under uncultured bacterium. Its description in RNAcentral is "partial 16S ribosomal RNA". It matches the Rfam family "Bacterial small subunit ribosomal RNA", at positions 99 to 334 of the family's 1533-position model. The record is from RNAcentral.
CGGACGGGUGAGUAACACGUGGGAAUCUGCCUUUGAGUGGGGGAUAACUGACCGAAAGGUUAGCUAAUACCCCAUACGUCGCAAGAUGAAAGGAGCAAUCCGCUCGAAGAUGAGCCCGCGUCCGAUUAGCUAGUUGGUAAGGUAAGAGCUUACCAAGGCAGUGAUCGGUAGCUGGUCUGAGAGGAUGAUCAGCCACAAUGGAACUGAGACACGGUCCAU